This 510-nucleotide ribosomal RNA is filed under the name uncultured bacterium. RNAcentral describes it as "partial 16S rRNA". The stretch from base 1 to 409 matches the Rfam family "Bacterial small subunit ribosomal RNA", at positions 975 to 1383 of the family's 1533-position model. The record is from RNAcentral.
CAGCCUUUGACAUCCUGGUCGCGGUUAGAGGAGACUCUUUCCUUCAGUUCGGCUGGACCAGUGACAGGUGCUGCAUGGCUGUCGUCAGCUCGUGUCGUGAGAUGUUGGGUUAAGUCCCGCAACGAGCGCAACCCUCAUCCUUAGUUGCCAUCAUUCAGUUGGGCACUUUAAGGAAACUGCCGGUGAUAAGCCGGAGGAAGGUGGGGAUGACGUCAAGUCCUCAUGGCCCUUACAGGCUGGGCUACACACCGUGCUACAAUGGCGAUGACAGUGAGCACCGAUCCCGCGAGGGGUAGCUAAUCUCCAAAAGUCGUCUCAGUUCGGAUUGUUCUCUGCAACUCGAGAGCAUGAAGGCGGGAUCGCUAGUAUCGCGGAUCAGCAUGCCGGGCGAAUACCUUUCCAAGNCUUGNCACACCNCCNCANACCAUGGGGAGUUGGUUUAACCCGAAAGCGNUNNACUUGANCCCAAAGGGGGGCAGGGGAACNCCGNNGGAAUANNGAAAUGGGGGG